This 253-nucleotide ribosomal RNA is filed under the name uncultured bacterium. RNAcentral describes it as "partial 16S ribosomal RNA". It matches the Rfam family "Bacterial small subunit ribosomal RNA", at positions 524 to 776 of the family's 1533-position model. The record is from RNAcentral.
UACGUAGGGUGCGAGCGUUGUCCGGAAUUAUUGGGCGUAAAGGGCUCGUAGGCGGUUUGUCGCGUCGGGAGUGAAAACCAGGUGCUUAACACCUGGCUUGCUUUCGAUACGGGCAGACUAGAGGUAUUCAGGGGAGAACGGAAUUCCCGGUGUAGCGGUGAAAUGCGCAGAUAUCAGGAGGAACACCGGUGGCGAAGGCGGUUCUCUGGGAAUGACCUGACGCUGAGGAGCGAAAGUGUGGGGAGCGAACAGG